UACGUAGGGUGCAAGCGUUGUCCGGAAUUAUUGGGCGUAAAGAGCUUGUAGGCGGUUUGUCGCGUCUGCUGUGAAAUUUCGGGGCUCAACCCCGAACUUGCAGUGGGUACGGGCAGACUAGAGUGUGGUAGGGGAGACUGGAAUUCCUGGUGUAGCGGUGAAAUGCGCAGAUAUCAGGAGGAACACCGGUGGCGAAGGCGGAUCUCUGGGCCGUAACUGACGCUGAGGAGCGAAAGCAUGGGGAGCGAACAGG
RNAcentral lists this ribosomal RNA (253 nucleotides) under uncultured bacterium. RNAcentral describes it as "partial 16S ribosomal RNA". It matches the Rfam family "Bacterial small subunit ribosomal RNA", at positions 524 to 776 of the family's 1533-position model. The record is from RNAcentral.